ACCCUGAGUUGUUCCACAGCCCACCUGCUGGGAUUUGUGGAGCAAGCUGGGGCUCUGCAGGCCAAGUGGGUCCAGGUGGUGGCAAAUCGGAGUGUCCACUGUAUCUGUGACUGGUGAGUGGCAGGGAGCCCCAACACAAAAGGCAAGGUUCAGCUCCCAGCUGACCCCACUGGAGCCUUUGGGAAGCAGUCUGAUUUGUUACUAGAUGACUUGUUGCUGCUACUGUUUGGGAAUUGAUGGCUCAAGAGUUCUCCGUGGUGAUGGAGGACAGCGUGGUAAAGGCCUUGGACAUGUAGCCCAACUGCACAGACUUCACCUGCUGCCCAGGUCCCGACAUCAUCUCGCAGCUC
RNAcentral lists this long non-coding RNA (350 nucleotides) under Homo sapiens (human). Its description in RNAcentral is "non-protein coding lnc-COMTD1-1:1". Lineage: Eukaryota; Metazoa; Chordata; Mammalia; Primates; Hominidae. The record is from RNAcentral.